RNAcentral lists this ribosomal RNA (498 nucleotides) under uncultured bacterium. Its description in RNAcentral is "partial 16S ribosomal RNA". It matches the Rfam family "Bacterial small subunit ribosomal RNA", at positions 30 to 523 of the family's 1533-position model. The record is from RNAcentral.
AUUGAACGCUGGCGGCAUGCCUUACGCAUGCAAGUCGAACGGUAACAGGUCUUCGGAUGCUGACGAGUGGCGAACGGGUGAGUAAUACAUCGGAACGUGCCUAGUCGUGGGGGAUAACUACUCGAAAGAGUGGCUAAUACCGCAUGAGAUCUACGGAUGAAAGCAGGGGAUCGCAAGACCUUGCGCUACUAGAGCGGGCGAUGGCAGAUUAGGUAGUUGGUGGGAUAAAAGCCUACCAAGCCGACGAUCUGUAGCUGGUCUGAGAGGACGAUCAGCCACACUGGGACUGAGACACGGCCCAGACUCCUACGGGAGGCAGCAGUGGGGAAUUUUGGACAAUGGGCGCAAGCCUGAUCCAGCAAUGCCGCGUGCAGGAUGAAGGCCUUCGGGUUGUAAACUGCUUUUGUACGGAACGAAAAGCCCCGGGUUAAUACCCUGGGGUCAUGACGGUACCGUAAGAAUAAGCACCGGCUAACUACGUGCCAGCAGCCGCGGUAA